Molecule: ribosomal RNA, 484 nt
Filed under: uncultured bacterium
Lineage: Bacteria
Description: bacterial SSU rRNA
Rfam family: Bacterial small subunit ribosomal RNA
Source: RNAcentral
AAUCAACGCUGGCGGCGUGCCUAACACAUGCAAGUCGAACGCGAAAGCCCUUUCGGGGGUAAGUAGAGUGGCGUCCGGGUGAGUAACACGUAGGUAAUCUACCUUCGGGUGGGGAAUAACUCGCCGAAAGGCGAGCUAAUACCGCAUAAUGCAGCGGCACCUAAUGGUGAUUAGUUGUUAAAGCGGGGGAUCGUAAGACCUCGCGCCUGAAGAGGAGCCUGCGGCAGAUUAGCUAGNGGUGAGGUAAUGGCUCACCAAGGCUUCGAUCUGUAGCUGGUCCGAGAGGACGGCCAGCCACACUGGCACUGACACACGGGCCAGACUCCUACGGGAGGCAGCAGUGGGGAAUUUUGGGCAAUGGGCGCAAGCCUGACCCAGCAACGCCGCGUGAGGGAGGAAAUCCUUCGGGAUGUAAACCUCACAAGCAAGGGAAGAGAGCUCAGGACCAAAUAAGUCCUGAGUCCGACGGUACCUUGCGUAAGCC